AAAAAAAAAAAAAAAAAAAAAAAAAAAAAAAAAAACAACCAAAAACAAACUAAAGCCAUUCCCUGAUCCUCCCCCAAAAAAAACCUCCUAAAAAAGCAAGUCCAAAAGGAUCUCAAAUGCCCGGUCUGGUUUUGUCCUACAUGGUUGACAAGAGUGUUUUGGCAUAGCUGCAGCCCAACCAUGUCCCUUUAAGGAGCACCGUGGCUCGUUUCCUCCUCAGGACCCCGAGCUGAGGGUUUUGCUGUUCCUGAUCAGAGCUCCUGCAGCCUUAGUUGGAGUCCAGAGUGAGGGGAGCCCUUCCAGCUGUGCACUUUGAGCUGAAAACUACCUUUCCUCCCCUUUUGCAGCCUGGGUGGUUCUGAUUGCUGGCAGUUCUGUAAUACAACCUUAAUCUGAGCAGUUGAGGCUGGUCCUACCUUAUCUUCAGACGUCUUGCGGAGGACUCCUGUUACCAGUUUGGUACUCAAAAGCUACACCCCACCACCAGAAGUCACUUUUUGUUUUUUUCCAAAGGCAGUGAUAGCUCACCCUCUCUAGCGCUAAUGGAAAACCUGAUAAUUGCAAUGCAACUUUCUAAUAAAUUGUUCAUAUAUUCAUAAUUCCGUUGCAAUCCCAAAUUGGAGAAGAGAUCUGUUAAAGUGCACUGGUGUACCAAGCCUCAGAACCACUGCUUUCUCCAGCUCAUAGGAUGCUUUUCCAGACUGUGGAUACGUGUAUGUGUACUGCUGUGUUGAUAAGUAAAUGCCAACGAUGGAGUUCGUUGCUUUUAUACAUCCCAAAGAGAAGUUCUCCACCGUUCCCUGUUUUCUGACCGAAAAGGCAUGUGUUUGUGAACAGUGUUCACGCCAGCUCUGCCAUCCCACCCUCACAUCAGCUCACACCAAUGCCAGGAUGGGAGGAGUUGCCUGCGUACCUUCCCAAAACACCCCGGGCCGCAGUGGCAUCGUCAGGGAGCAGUUCAAACCUGUGUCCUUUGGGCUUUGUGUAAAGCAAAUGCAGAACAAGAAAAAUUGAGAUGUUAAAUCCAUUAGAAAACCAAUUCCUUAUUGUACAGUAGUAUGGAGAUCUCUAGUCAACCUGCCAUUAAUAAUAGAUUCUUAUUUUUUGAAUGAUCUAUUUAAAAGAACAGCAAGCAUUGUAUUUGCUAGUAAAUCUGAAGUGUUUACAUGGAAUUACUAAAUAAAUUAUUUGAUCUAA
Molecule: long non-coding RNA, 1197 nt
Organism: Pyrgilauda ruficollis (rufous-necked snowfinch)
Lineage: Eukaryota; Metazoa; Chordata; Aves; Passeriformes; Passeridae
Exons: 2
Source: RefSeq, a predicted model, not a curated record